RNAcentral lists this ribosomal RNA (448 nucleotides) under uncultured bacterium. RNAcentral describes it as "partial 16S ribosomal RNA". It matches the Rfam family "Bacterial small subunit ribosomal RNA", at positions 331 to 795 of the family's 1533-position model. The record is from RNAcentral.
CCAGACUCCUACGGGAGGCAGCAGUGGGGAAUAUUGCACAAUGGGGGGAACCCUGAUGCAGCGACGCCGCGUGGGUGAAGGAGCGUUUCGGCGCGUAAAGCCCUAUCGGCAGGGAAGAAGGAGGACGGUACCUGACUAAGAAGCCCCGGCUAACUACGUGCCAGCAGCCGCGGUAAUACGUAGGGGGCAAGCGUUAUCCGGAUUUACUGGGUGUAAAGGGGGCGCAGACGGCAGCGCAAGCCAGGAGUGAAAGCCCGGGGCCCAACCCCGGGACUGCUCUUGGAACUGCGCGGCUGGAGUGAAGGAGGGGCAGGCGGAAUUCCUGGUGUAGCGGUGAAAUGCGUAGAUAUCAGGAGGAACACCGGUGGCGAAGGCGGCCUGCUGGACUGCGACUGACGUUGAGGCCCGAAAGCGUGGGGAGCAAACAGGAUUAGAUACCCCCGUAUUA